AGCGAACGCUGGCGGCAGGCCUAACACAUGCAAGUCGAGGGGGCAGCAAUGUCACCGGCGAACGGGUGCGUAACGCGUAUGCAACCUACCUACAUCAGGGGGAUAGCCCUAGGAAACUGGGAUUAACACCGCAUAAUAUAAGCUACGGCAUCGUAGCUUAUUGAAAUAUUUAUAGGAUGUAGAUGGGCAUGCGUAGGAUUAGCUAGUUGGUAAGGUAACGGCUUACCAAGGCUACGAUCCUUAGGGGCUCUGAGAGGAGUAUCACCCGCACUGGCACUGAGAUACGGGCCAGACUCCUACGGGGGGCAGCAGUAGGGAAUAUUGGGCAAUGGAGGCAACUCUGACCCAGCCAUGCCGCGUGCAGGAAGACGGUCCUCUGGAUUGUAAACUGCUUUUGAAUGGGAAGAAUGUGUGGCUUGCGAGUUAUAAUGACGGUACCAUUAGAAUAAGCCACGGCUAACUACGUGCCAGCAGCCGCCGUAA
This 483-nucleotide ribosomal RNA is filed under the name uncultured bacterium. Its description in RNAcentral is "partial 16S ribosomal RNA". It matches the Rfam family "Bacterial small subunit ribosomal RNA", at positions 29 to 523 of the family's 1533-position model. The record is from RNAcentral.